RNAcentral lists this ribosomal RNA (571 nucleotides) under uncultured bacterium. RNAcentral describes it as "partial 16S ribosomal RNA". It matches the Rfam family "Bacterial small subunit ribosomal RNA", at positions 355 to 919 of the family's 1533-position model. The record is from RNAcentral.
UGGGGAAUUUUGGACAAUGGGCGCAAGCCUGAUCCAGCCAUGCCGCGUGCGGGAAGAAGGCCUUCGGGUUGUAAACCGCUUUUGUCAGGGAAGAAAUCUUCUGAGUUAAUACCUCGGGAGGAUGACGGUACCUGAGGAAUAAGCACCGGCUAACUACGUGCCAGCAGCCGCGGUAAUACGUAGGGUGCAAGCGUUAAUCGGAAUUACUGGGCGUAAAGCGUGCGCAGGCGGUUUUGUAAGACAGAGGUGAAAUCCCCGGGCUCAACCUGGGAACUGCCUUUGUGACUGCAAGGCUUGAGUGCGGCAGAGGGGGAUGGAAUUCCGCGUGUAGCAGUGAAAUGCGUAGAUAUGCGGAGGAACACCGAUGGCGAAGGCAAUCCCCUGGGCCUGCACUGACGCUCAUGCACGAAAGCGUGGGGAGCAAACAGGAUUAGAUACCCUGGUAGUCCACGCCCUAAACGAUGUCAACUGGUUGUUGGGAAGGUUCCUUCUCAGUAACGUAGCUAACGCGUGAAGUUGACCGCCUGGGGAGUACGGCCGCAAGGUUGAAACUCAAAUGAAUUGACGGGGU